UGAACUUCUUUGGAGUUUGGCUGUUGAUCUAAAAUCCAGGCCGCAAUUUCGUAACGUGGAACAACUCUUCAAUUACUCAACUAACUUCGUCCGACGACGUCGUUCUCCUUUUUUUUUAUUUUUUUUAUUUUUAUUUUACUUCCAGCUUAUUAUUGGGAUGGCGUCUCUUAGUCCCAUUAUUUCCCACGUUCACUUCAGAGCUCACUCAGGAGUGUGGAGGCUCCAUCUAUCCAGAUCAAACAACAAUCCUUGACCUUCAGACACAUCAAUCUGCUCGAGGGAAGGAUAGAGCGCGUGCAGAUCCUUCAGAGUCAAUACCAACAGCUGUGGACAAUCUCCAGUCCAAAAAACCAGAUUAGAACCCAGAAGUUAAUCAGAAACAAGAGUUCAACUUACGAAUGUGAAGCAAUCAGAUAGAGAGUACUACCUCAUUUACAGAUGCAGAGCCAAUGCAGGGAGACAAAUCGAGCAGGUCCCUCAAGAAAACUUCUUCCUGCGGAAAGAGAAAGGAGAAACACCAUGGCAUGCUCCAAUUGCCAUCUCCAAUCUGAAAAAGCUUUUGCAUAGCCAGCCACCAAGUUGCAUGGUAAAAUAAUCAAUAUAAUAGUUUAACUUUUUGCUGGCAAUAAACUUUCUUGGGUUCAGGCAACUCAGACCAUGACGACGCAAGAAACGGAAGAUUGAAGACAAGAGAAAGAUUAUGAUAAUGGUAAAGAACAUUUUGGAUGGAUUAAUGUUUUGAUUAUAAUGUCGGAGAAUAUUCAAAUUCAAAGGGGAAAUUCUUGAUAAAAAGAAAAGAAAUGAAGAUUCUUCUUCCAUAACGUAUUGUUAUUGUUGUUGAUGCUGUUGUCUAGGUCUGGGUCUGGCUUUGGAAAGCAUACAUGGAUACCUCUUUUCUCCUUCGUUUUCAAAAGAGAGGAAAAAGAAAGUGGAAUUGGGAUGAGAAAUAUUUCUUUUUGGGUAAAAAAAAAAAAAAAACUCUAUAUCUGUAAGAAUGAUUAAUUUUUUAAAAUUUUGCUUUGUUUAAAGACAAACUCUCACUCUAUAUUUGGUAUGGUAAGCCAAAUUCUGUGGUUA
Ipomoea nil (Japanese morning glory) is the source of this 1077-nucleotide long non-coding RNA. RefSeq lists it as uncharacterized. The record is from RefSeq and is a predicted model, not a curated record. NCBI's taxonomy places the organism in Eukaryota, Viridiplantae, Streptophyta, Magnoliopsida, Solanales, Convolvulaceae. The transcript is spliced from 3 exons.